Molecule: ribosomal RNA, 434 nt
Filed under: uncultured bacterium
Lineage: Bacteria
Description: partial 16S ribosomal RNA
Rfam family: Bacterial small subunit ribosomal RNA
Source: RNAcentral
AGCGAACGCUGGCGGCAGGCCUAACACAUGCAAGUCGAACGAACCUUUCGGGGUUAGUGGCGGACGGGUGAGUAACACGUGGGAACGUGCCUUUAGGUUCGGAAUAACUCAGGGAAACUUGUGCUAAUACCGAAUGUGCCCUUCGGGGGAAAGAUUUAUCGCCUUUAGAGCGGCCCGCGUCUGAUUAGCUAGUUGGUUGAGGUAAUGGCUCACCAAGGCGACGAUCAGUAGCUGGUCUGAGAGGAUGAUCAGCCACAUUGGGACUGAGACACGGCCCAAACUCCUACGGGAGGCAGCAGUGGGGAAUCUUGCGCAAUGGGCGAAAGCCAGACGCAGCCAUGCCGCGUGAAUGAUGAAGGUCUUAGGAUUGUAAAAUUCUUUCACCGGGGACGAUAAUGACGGUACCCGGAGAAGAAGCCCCGGCUAACUUCGUG